RNAcentral lists this microRNA precursor (76 nucleotides) under Myotis brandtii (Brandt's bat). RNAcentral describes it as "mir-9229 microRNA precursor family". It matches the Rfam family "mir-9229 microRNA precursor family". The record is from Rfam by way of RNAcentral. Lineage: Eukaryota; Metazoa; Chordata; Mammalia; Chiroptera; Vespertilionidae.
GAGACAUCUUUAUGGAACAGGACUUGCUUCAGUGGGGCUUUGGUGCUCACUGAGUCUGCCCCUUGAGUGUGUUGCU